Molecule: long non-coding RNA, 3664 nt
Organism: Rhododendron vialii
Lineage: Eukaryota; Viridiplantae; Streptophyta; Magnoliopsida; Ericales; Ericaceae
Exons: 2
Source: RefSeq, a predicted model, not a curated record
UUGUGGUAAUUGAAUCAAAUACUUAUAAUUCUGUUUCAAAUACUGAGUUGAUUUCUGCUCUCGAAUGGCACUUAUACUCUAUGCAUCCGAAUUAAUCUUUUCUAGUCUCUCUACUAAGUAGAAAUCGCAAGUGCUUAAAGGGGAAUAAAGAAGUCCAACCCUGGGGUUGGUAUUGCUAGGACGCUUCUGGAUUUUGUUAAAUGCAUUGUAUGAACCAUUGAAGCAAGAAAUGAUUCUGAUACUCUAGAGGAAGCAAGAAUGUCCCUGGCAGUUAGGCUGCCCUGUCGUUAAGCUUGUGAAAAAGUAAACAUAAAAAAAUAGCUUAAAUUCUGGGAGUGGAGCACCACAACAAGAGAGAGAUUUGGGUGUGCUGCCCAUCUUUAAUGAAGCCCCCUUGCAUCUUUUGCACAACUCUAAUAGUCUGUUUCAAGUACAACAAAAGUGAUAGCCCAGUAUGUAGUCGACAAUAGGUGAUCCACCAGGUCCUUGCUAUAUGUAUUCCACAAACGCCUAAAGGAAUACCUUUCCAAGUUGUGGCUUACACUUUGGCAUGGGCGGACGAAAAUGCCCCUUAGUUUGGAAAUUAGGGGGCUCAAUCCAACUCUUCUUGGUUCUGGGCGUUCCAGUAAUUUCACGCUCUUAGGUGGUGGGCCAUAGCCACUAUUUAGGCUAUUUACAGAUUACUUUAACGGGUUUUUGGACUUUUGAUGUUUUCUCUCUAUGUCCUCUUUUUUACACACUAAUUUGUCCUUUAUAGCCCCCUUGGCAAUGGAGGUGAGAAAAGAGAAGAGAAGAAAGGGUUGUGGUUUCUCACCCACCCAUCCAAACAAUCGUGAGAAAUCAAACUCUCUCCACAUCUCCGGCGACUUCAACUCCAUCUUCGGCGACCUCAUCUCCAUCUCCGGUAACCUGAAACUCUCUGUUUCUCUUUGCUCUAGCGACCAAGCAUCAUCUCUGUUUCUCUCUUCUCCGGCGACCAAACAUCAUCUUCGGCGACUAGUCUGAAAUCAAAGCUUUCAAAACUCAGUUUUGAUCACAGAAGUAGCUUCUUCUUGACGAGACGAAGACAACGGUGCAAGCACGACGAUGAUCCGACGAGAGGGUGGACCACACGGGCUACCGGAAGUUGCACGAGUGAGAUCUACUCUCACCCACACGCCUCACUCGCCUCACUCUCUCCCUUUCUCAUGGAAUCUCGCCACUUUUGGUGCAAAACGGAACUGGGGUGUGAGGGGGUUCCCGUCUCCCUCCUUCUCUCACCCUCUCUCGCCUUCUGGGCCUUCCAAACGAGGGAGAGAAUCACUUCUCCCUCCGUCCCCUUUCUUUUCUCUCGAAAUCCCCCGUUCCAAACGAGCUGUUAGUGCUACUGGUUUUUUUUUUUGGUCGGCAAAAAAAGGUUACCCUAUCAUUAAUAAAUACUAAUGAUACCAAAAGCAACCCUGUAGUAACACACUAGGGAGCGUCAAACAAAGAGGACAAGCUCAACCAAAUGGGAGCGUCAUACUAUGAAAGUCAAGCUCAACCUAUCACUACAUCUCACCCCACAUUUUUUUUAAAAGAACGACAAAACAGAAAAUACACAAAAGUUGACAAGAAGGCAACUACAAACCCCUAAGAUAAAUGCUUGACCCAUCCAAAGCACCUCAUCUCAAAGCUCAAACAGCCUUAUCAAACACCCAUUGAGCCAAGAAACAAACCCCAAUGCCGGCCCACACCAGCCAGAUAUCCCAAAGAAACCCUACCCCUAUAGGACCACUCUCACCGCCUCCAACACCUCCCUCCGCCACUGCCGCCUCCCCACCUGACACCAACUGAUGCCACACACUACCAAUGGCCAUGCCUCUACAGCUUCUCGCUCGUGGAGAGGGCUUUUCGGUAAAAUUGUGUGGUGAUGAGAUUCCUUUUGACUUUUGGUUGGGGAAAAUUUCAAAAAAGCCACUGAACUUUCAGGAACUUUACAAAAAAAAAAACACAUAAAAAACCCAUGGACUUUAACUAAUAACGAAAAGACACAUGAACUUACCAUCUGGUUAACAAUUAGGCCCCCGCCGUUCCAUUCCGUUAAUGUGUAAUGAAUGGAGCUAACGGAAGGCGUUAACCUUCCUUUUUUUUACUUUUACUUUCAAAAAAUACUUUUAAAUCUUUUUUUUAGUAGUAAAUAAAUGUGCAAUUUGGUUCUCUUUUUUUUUUUUCCCUCUUACUAUUUAUUAAAAUUACUUUAACCGCAUUUUUACAAUUUACCAAAAAUAACUUUAACCCCCCUCCCUUUUUUUACUUUCAAAUUUUAUCUUUCCCACACUCUCUCCCUUUUUUUUUAUUUUUUAGAAAUUCGACCUCACACCACCAAUCAACCCUAUAACCAACCGCUGAAGCCCUAGCCCUAAUUUUAGAAUCUCAAAAUUUCUUCUAACUUCUUUUUUUAACCUUCAUUUUAUUGUUUACUUUUUACUUUCAAAUAUUACUUUUAUCUCUUUCUUUUCUUUGUAAUAAAUAAAUAUGCAAUAAAGUUUUAAAAGUGUGGUUUAAUUAGUUAAUCCACAAACGCCUAUAAAGGAAUACCUUUCCAAAUUGUGGCUUACACUAUGGCAUGGCUAGACGAAAAUGCCCCUUAGUUUGGAAACUAGGGGGCUCAAUCCAACUCUUCUUGGAAGCUAGAUGAACUGUUCGCAAACCAUUUCUGUUCUUUGACCUCUUCAAAUAUUGAAGUUGACUUAGGACCUCUAACCCUUGGAACUUAAUCUUAGCAGUAGAGGUAUGAAUGUAUGCUUUUAUGUUGUACCAGGGGCACAUAUCAUGUCAGAAUCACACUUGUAGUUCUAUUUCCAGUUUUUGUACUUCCUCUUAUCCCUUUUUUUAAGUCCAGUAUUCCAUUCCGGGUUGUUCCUUAAUAAGUGUCAAUUUUGUAAAGUUAGUGGGUGAUGGGUGAAAGUUGGUGCAUUUUCCAUUUUGCCCCUAAAAGUAGAUUCCAUUUUGAAAAGUUAGUAAGCAAAAGUGUAAUGAUGAUGUUUCCAUAGAGGGUAAGUAGGGAAAGUGGAGGUAAAAGUUGAUGUGGAAGAUGUAAUGAUGAUGUCUCCCUAAUAAGUUGGACGGAGGGAGUAUUAUUUAUAUAGUUACCGUAAUAUUGUUCCACUCUAGUUUUAUUUCUAGUUUACCACAGAAGGUAGGUUUCCAGACCUUUUCAUUACCCCUUAUCCUCACACGACCCUCCCUUUGUGAUCGCAAAUGACAUUUAUAUUCCAACAAAAAAAGGGUACCCUUCUUUAGUAGGGAUGUUAUUGUUAGGAGUUUAUACUAAAAGCAAUGCUUUUAAGUAAUUGAUUUGUUAUUUAACUUGUUAUUUAUAAAUUAGUUUAUCCCUUUUUUAUGAGAAUCUUUAUGGGCAAUGUUUGCAUAAUAUUAUUAUAUGUUGAGCAUGUGUGUCUUAUUUUACGUAGUAGAUGAUCCUGUGUAUAAAGUUUGGCUUACACACGGAAGAUCGGAUCAUUGGUUCUUGUGGAGUAUAGGAUAUGGUUCACGGUCUUAGGUGGAACUAGACACACCAUUGUUAGGACUGUAGUACAAUGUUUUAGUAGGUUUGUCUUGACUAUGGGGAACGAUACAUGUUUCAACUCAUUGUGCUAGAACACUUUGUGUGUAUUGAACAGAACCGCUUUGAGGUAAUUGU